CAGCACCUCAAGUGGUCAGGAUGAUUAUUGGGCCUAAAGCAUCCGUAGCCGGCGCUGUAAGUUUUCGGUUAAAUUUGUACGCUCAACGUACAGGCUGCCGGGAAUACUGCAGCGCUAGGGAGUGGGAGAGGUAGACGGUACUCGGUAGGAAGGGGUAAAAUCCUUUGAUCUAUUGAUGACCACCUGUGGCGAAGGCGGUCUACCAGAACACGUCCGACGGUGAGGGAUGAAAGCUGGGGGAGCAAACCGGAUUAGAGACCCGAGUAGUCC
This 270-nucleotide ribosomal RNA is filed under the name uncultured archaeon. RNAcentral's name for it is "partial 16S ribosomal RNA". It matches the Rfam family "Archaeal small subunit ribosomal RNA", at positions 477 to 747 of the family's 1478-position model. The record is from RNAcentral.